RNAcentral lists this long non-coding RNA (222 nucleotides) under Lathyrus oleraceus (garden pea). RNAcentral's name for it is "Pisum sativum (pea) long non-coding RNA (PSAT_LNC026437)". Lineage: Eukaryota; Viridiplantae; Streptophyta; Magnoliopsida; Fabales; Fabaceae. The record is from RNAcentral.
AGAAACAAAAUACUGUCAUGCUCGCUAGCUGCUCGCUAGGCGAAGGAAGUAGCGAGCUGAUUCUCUAGCUGCUCGCUAGGCGAAGGCAGUAGCGAGCGUAGCAUGAUAGAACUUUAAUUCUGUUUCACAGGGCCACUCAUUUGGGCCCAAAACUUGUUAUUUUGUUUUAAGUCUGAAUAUAAGGAUCAAACUUACUCUCACUUGCACAAAAUCACCUCUGUC